RNAcentral lists this ribosomal RNA (200 nucleotides) under uncultured bacterium. Its description in RNAcentral is "partial 16S ribosomal RNA". It matches the Rfam family "Bacterial small subunit ribosomal RNA", at positions 8 to 206 of the family's 1533-position model. The record is from RNAcentral.
AGAGUUUGAUCCUGGCUCAGGACGAACGCUGGCGGCGUGCUUAACACAUGCAAGUCGAGCGAUGAAGCUCCUUCGGGAGUGGAUUAGCGGCGGACGGGUGAGUAACACGUGGGCAACCUGCCUUGUAGAGAGGGAUAGCCAUUCGAAAGGAUGAUUAAUACCUCAUAAUAUUGUAGCUUCGCAUGAAGCAACAAUCAAAG